CCAGAGAACUUAGCAGAGAUGCUUUGGUGCCUUCGGGAACUCUGAGACAGGUGCUGCAUGGCUGUCGUCAGCUCGUGUUGUGAAAUGUUGGGUUAAGUCCCGCAACGAGCGCAACCCUUAUCCUUUGUUGCCAGCGGUUAGGCCGGGAACUCAAAGGAGACUGCCAGUGAUAAACUGGAGGAAGGUGGGGAUGACGUCAAGUCAUCAUGGCCCUUACGAGUAGGGCUACACACGUGCUACAAUGGCGCAUACAAAGAGAAGCGACCUCGCGAGAGCAAGCGGACCUCAUAAAGUGCGUCGUAGUCCGGAUUGGAGUCUGCAACUCGACUCCAUGAAGUCGGAAUCGCUAGUAAUCGUGGAUCAGAAUGCCACGGUGAAUACGUUCCCGGGCCUUGUACACACCGCCCGUCACACCAUGGGAGUGGGUUGCAAAAGAAGUAGGUGGCUUAACCUUCGGGAGGGCGCUUACCACUUUGUGAUUCGUGACUGGGGUGAAGUCGUAACAAGGUAGGCGUAGUGCU
This 521-nucleotide ribosomal RNA is filed under the name uncultured bacterium. Its description in RNAcentral is "bacterial SSU rRNA". It matches the Rfam family "Bacterial small subunit ribosomal RNA", at positions 988 to 1509 of the family's 1533-position model. The record is from RNAcentral.